Bombina bombina (fire-bellied toad) is the source of this 98-nucleotide small nucleolar RNA. RefSeq annotates it as small nucleolar RNA U13. Lineage: Eukaryota; Metazoa; Chordata; Amphibia; Anura; Bombinatoridae. The transcript has a single exon. The record is from RefSeq and is a predicted model, not a curated record.
AUCCUUCUGGUUCUUACAUAUGAUGAGUGGGGUUUCAUACUUGUGUGUGAAAUGUGCCAGCCCAAAUUGUUACGACUCGGCACAUGACCCAUCUGAUC